Molecule: non-coding RNA, 528 nt
Organism: Parasteatoda tepidariorum (common house spider)
Lineage: Eukaryota; Metazoa; Arthropoda; Arachnida; Araneae; Theridiidae
Source: RefSeq, a predicted model, not a curated record
CAGGUUCACUGUACUGAGGUUUGACGGUAUAUGUGUUAAAACAAAAUUACAGGAAAAUGAGAAUAAAAGUGUGUGUGAUUAGAAAGUACCCCCCCUCCCCCUGUGCCUCAUCUUAGAGAUUUUUUUUUCUCUAUAUAAUGUCACCAAAAUGUAUUUUUUGUUUCCUAAAUAAAAUUCGAAGUUGUGUUCAUCAUUGAAUACCUUUUCAAAGGUAUAAAUUUUGAAACCUUUAUAUUAAUUACCUCUCAGAAAUUCAGUAUUUUGACAAAUGUAAAAGCAAAGUAUUAAUUAACCUGUUCUAUUUGAUGUGAUAGGCAUUACGAGAGGCUCAUGCAAAGUUCCAAGCAUCUUUGAGCUCUGCACAAGCCGAUUUUGAAGUAUUAGCAGCUCUGGAUCAGCAGAUAAAGUCCUUCAAUGUCGGGGGUAAUCCUUAUACUUGGUUCACUAUGGAAGCAUUAGAGGAUACUUGGCGCAAUCUUCAAAAGAUCAUACAAGAAAGAGAUGUAGAGCUUGUUAAAGAAGACCAAA